This 391-nucleotide unclassified non-coding RNA is filed under the name soil metagenome. RNAcentral describes it as "partial contains 5.8S ribosomal RNA, internal transcribed spacer 2, and large subunit ribosomal RNA". The stretch from base 1 to 122 matches the Rfam family "5.8S ribosomal RNA", at positions 35 to 154 of the family's 154-position model. The record is from RNAcentral.
GAUGAAGAACGCAGCGAAAUGCGAUACUUGGUGUGAAUUGCAGAAUCCCGUGAACCAUCGAGUCUUUGAACGCAAGUUGCGCCCGAAGCCAUUAGGCCGAGGGCACGCCUGCCUGGGCGUCACACGUCGUUGCCCCCCCAUCUACUCCUUCGGGAUUGCGGGGGGCGGAUGAUGGCCUCCCGUGCGCCUCGUCGCGCGGUUGGCAUAAAUGCCAAGUCCUCGGCGACGCACGCCACGACAAUCGGUGGUUGCGAAACCUCGGUUGCCCGUCGUGUGCGGUCGUCGCGCAUCGAGGGCUCGAAAAAAUUGCCGGGUUCCGGCUCGGCUUUCAACGCGACCCCAGGUCAGGCGGGGUUACCCGCUGAAUUUAAGCAUAUCAAUAAGCGGAGGA